CAACAGGGAUUGCCCUAGUAACGGCGAGUGAAGCGGCAACAGCUCAAAUUUGAAAUCUGGCUCUCGGGCCCGAGUUGUAAUUUGUAGAGGAUGCUUUUGGUGCGGUGCCUUCCGAGUUCCCUGGAACGGGACGCCAUAGAGGGUGAGAGCCCCGUCUGGUUGGACGCCAAUCCUCUGUAAAGCUCCUUCGACGAGUCGAGUAGUUUGGGAAUGCUGCUCUAAAUGGGAGGUAUAUGUCUUCUAAAGCUAAAUACCGGCCAGAGACCGAUAGCGCACAAGUAGAGUGAUCGAAAGAUGAAAAGAACUUUGAAAAGAGAGUUAAAAAGUACGUGAAAUUGUUGAAAGGGAAGCGCUUGUGACCAGACUUGGGCUUGGUUGAUCAUCCAGGGUUCUCCCUGGUGCACUCUUCCGGCCUAGGCCAGCAUCAGUUCGCCCCGGGGGACAAAGGCGCCGGGAAUGUGGCUCCUCUCGGGGAGUGUUAUAGCCCGGCGUGCAAUACCCUGUGGCGGACUGAGGUUCGCGCAUUCGCAAGGAU
RNAcentral lists this ribosomal RNA (535 nucleotides) under Fusarium piperis. RNAcentral describes it as "partial large subunit ribosomal RNA". It matches the Rfam family "Eukaryotic large subunit ribosomal RNA", at positions 66 to 624 of the family's 3401-position model. The record is from RNAcentral. Lineage: Eukaryota; Fungi; Ascomycota; Sordariomycetes; Hypocreales; Nectriaceae.